UACGUAGGGUGCAAGCGUUGUCCGGAAUUAUUGGGCGUAAAGAGCUCGUAGGCGGUCCGUCACGUCGGGAGUGAAAACUUGGGGCUCAACCCCAAGCCUGCUUCCGAUACGGGCGGACUAGAGGUAGGCAGGGGAGAACGGAAUUCCUGGUGUAGCGGUGGAAUGCGCAGAUAUCAGGAGGAACACCGGUGGCGAAGGCGGUUCUCUGGGCCUUACCUGACGCUCAGGUGCGAAAGCUAGGGGAGCAAACAGG
Molecule: ribosomal RNA, 253 nt
Filed under: uncultured bacterium
Lineage: Bacteria
Description: partial 16S ribosomal RNA
Rfam family: Bacterial small subunit ribosomal RNA
Source: RNAcentral